GAUGAACGCUGGCGGCGCGCCUAACACAUGCAAGUCGAACGGUUAAAGCACCUUUUAGGUGUGUAUAAAGUGGCGAACGGCUGAGUAACACGUGGGCAACCUGCCCUCCUCUUGGGGAUAGCCUCGGGAAACCGAGGAUAAUACCCGAUACUUCAAUGUGGCCGCAUGACGACAUUGAGAAAGCUUUUGCGGAGAAGGAUGGGCCCGCGGCCUGUUAGCUUGUUGGUGGGGUAGAGGCCUACCAAGGCAAUGAUGGGUAGCUGGGUUGAGAGACCGACCAGCCAGAUUGGGACUGAGACACGGCCCAGACUCCUACGGGAGGCAGCAGUGGGGAAUCUUGCACAAUGGGCGAAAGCCUGAUGCAGCGACGCCGCGUGCGGGACGAAGGCCUUCGGGUUGUAAACCGCUUUCAGCAGGGACGAGGCGAAAGUGACGGUACCUGCAGAAGAACCCCGCUAACUAC
RNAcentral lists this ribosomal RNA (463 nucleotides) under Lancefieldella rimae. Its description in RNAcentral is "bacterial SSU rRNA". It matches the Rfam family "Bacterial small subunit ribosomal RNA", at positions 28 to 504 of the family's 1533-position model. The record is from RNAcentral. Lineage: Bacteria; Bacillati; Actinomycetota; Coriobacteriia; Coriobacteriales; Atopobiaceae.